RNAcentral lists this long non-coding RNA (1240 nucleotides) under Phaseolus vulgaris (common bean). RNAcentral describes it as "long non-coding RNA (PVUL_LNC001146)". The record is from RNAcentral. Lineage: Eukaryota; Viridiplantae; Streptophyta; Magnoliopsida; Fabales; Fabaceae.
UAAGAUAAAGGAAAGAACAUGCAUAUGCAAAUAUGCAACACCAAUAGUGGAUAUGCCAAACAAAGGAAAGACGAGAUAACAUGUGGCAUAAUAAAAGUAAAAACUCAAUAACUUAAAAACAAUAGAGACUUAUAGAGAGGGGGGAGAAUUAGAGAACAUGAUAGAUUUCACUUUCUCGUUAGAAAGCAUUACUUAAUGAUCUCACAAACACGAAUUCUUUGUUGCAUAGACAUUUUAUAAGUUCAAAUAAUAUAAGUAUUUUGCAAAUGCUCUUUGAAAAUUUAAAAGUUUUUCCUACCUUAGUGCAUGUUUCGUUGGCACUUACUGAGUUAGCAAAAACGUAUAACAAUUUCAGUUGGCAGGGAGGUUCUGUUUUGCAGACAAAGUUAAUGAUUUUACAUUGCAACACUGAUGAAAGGAAUUGAAAGAGCUCAAAUGGAGUGUAGAGUAUGUUGUGCUAUCUACAUUUUGGUCAACUUCUGGUGUGUGUAAAAAGCGUCUGAGGGGCUUUAUGACAGUUAGAAAGGGGUAUUUGAAGGGUGCAAUAUAAAAUAGAGAUUAUGUUAUGAAAAAAAAGUUGAAUUUAAAAUGAUGUAGGUUAAAUGCAUAGAUUGUGGAUAAAAAAGGGGUGUGAGGCUUAAUUUUUCCGUAGUGGUGGAAGAAAUGUGGAAAUAUAUGAUAUUACGUGUGGUUUGUCCCAUCUUGAAUGCAUAUUAUUGGAAAGAAAAAUGGUGGUUUGUGGUAGCGUGGUUGAGUCUAGUAACAUAAAGAUAUUCACUCCUGCACUGUUGACUAACUUUCUCUUUUCCUUCAUCCAUGCGUUUGUGGCCCAGUUCGCCUUUAGAGGCUCAACAAAGUUCCCAGAGAAUCGAUACUGAUGGAAGACAAUGGAACCAAAACAAAAAAAAAUUAAAGAGAGAAGAAAAACAAUGAUGAAAUGUCCUUUCAAUUGUGUAGUUUUAAUUAACCAAAGAUAUCCACUGAAAAAAGUCCUAAUCAGUCGUGUUUGAACGAAACUCUAAUCACUUUCGUCUAGCUUCCAUCAUUUUCAGCAUCACCCGUGUAAUUAAAGUUCAUUGUUAGUGCUUAUAUUAAUUUUCCCGUGAUUAUUUUCAAUAUAUAGUAAACUCAAUUCACACAUCACAAUACAUCAAACAGAUAGGAGAGUAAAGAGAGAUAAAACAAAACCUGAAGCUCCUCGUGUUCGAAUUUUGAUGGUCACCGUUUUCCCGGCAAAAUC